CUUCACCGAGCCCAGCCACAGCGGCCGGUCCUCGGGUCGGUCCUGGCCAUAGGUGGCGAUCAACGCCUGGGCCUC
Streptomyces sp. is the source of this 75-nucleotide non-coding RNA. It matches the Rfam family "ASpks TB sRNA". NCBI's taxonomy places the organism in Bacteria, Bacillati, Actinomycetota, Actinomycetes, Kitasatosporales, Streptomycetaceae. The record is from Rfam.